ACUGUCAGUAGUUAGAUCUACUGAUCUACCAAUACCGUAUUAAUUUUAUCCAAUUUUCUCUAGGUAGCCUAACUAAUUAAAUCGUAGUCUAUGUAAAAUUGAAAAUGGCUGGCAUUGGCUGCCGAAAUGGCGAAAAAUGGAGCAGGUACAUGGGAUAACCCUUCAAUAAUGUAGAGGGACACUCUUUCUAUUUGCCCAAGUAGUCUGCUGUGGCAAUCAUUAUUUUUGCAGUUUGAAUUCAUUGUUGAUGAACAUUGGCAAUCAUCAGUUAGUCACCAUAUUACAUGUUUAAUUGUAUAUUUUCUGUAAUUUACAAUCUA
Molecule: long non-coding RNA, 320 nt
Organism: Amphimedon queenslandica
Lineage: Eukaryota; Metazoa; Porifera; Demospongiae; Haplosclerida; Niphatidae
Exons: 2
Source: RefSeq, a predicted model, not a curated record